UAGACAACAGGAGAGGGACGGAGUGGAUCACCGGUGUAACCGGAGAGUUUACCGGUGGGUCGGGCUGUUGUUUGUCUGGCUGCACGGCAGUGACGAGAGCCAUAAUGUUCCAAAGAAAGAAAAGGAUACGGCCUGCUUCGAGGGACAAGCCAUGGUUUAUGGAAAGAUUCAUUGACAGUAACAAAGGAAGAAGAGUGUUUGCUGCCCAGUCAAUCGAAUCAGGUGACUUUGAUUUGGAGUACAGGGGAGAGCUCAUAUCAGUGGAAGAAUGCCGAUCGAGACUCAGAGACAAAGAGUACAUUUCUGUUUCAAACGUCACUGGUGGGCAAAAAUAAAGCCAGGCAGGAUGGCACAAGAUGCACUUGAGCUCAUGCAAUUUCAUAAUGCAAGAAUUCAUUUCACAUGUGGAAGACCUUAGAGAAUAUGAAAUUAUUGUGCUUUGUUCUACCUCCUUUAGGGGUAAUUUGGGGUAAUGAUUUGAAGGGAACAUAUCAUGCUCAUUUUCAAGUUGAUAUUUGUAUUUUGGGUUUGUACUGGAAAAUGUUGCAUGGCUAGUUGAAUCACAUGAACUGACUUAUUUCAGUUGUCUCAUUCUUUUCCCUAACACAAAGUAGUGGAGAUGUUAGUUUUUCAGUUCAUGUUGUAUUCUUUGAGUUGCCCUGAUAAAGUUAUGUCUUGCAAUAUAACAAUUAAAAAAAGUAUAAUGGUAAAUGGACAAUUUAUACCAAGUAAAUCUCUUUUGAAUUGCAAUGUGGUGAGGUCAUGACCAGUUGCCUAGAGCAUGUUGUUUUUUAUUUUUAACAAGACAGAAAAUCUUUCCUUUUAUAUAUUGAACUGCGACUUUGUAUAAAUAAAUACAUGCUCAAUGAAAACAAAGCAAUGUUUCUUGUAAAAUAUUACUGAUGGCUUGAAAGAACAAUGUUAACCCAAAAUGGGAUUUAAAAACUCAUUGAUUAGAAAAAGUCUCAUGGGUUUGGAAGUGUUGAGCAGGAGGUAAUUUUAUGAAUGCAAUGUUACUGCCCUGUCUAACUAAUGAUGAUCUUUUGUUACAAUGAGAUCCAGUCCUGCAAUGUUUUAGAUAAGCCAGGAAAAACCAUGGAAACCAUUAUUGCCUCCAGUUAACAUGUGCCUUGCUUAGAUAUAAAAACUGGAAAUGUGUGUCCUGCUAAGAUAUAAAACCUUGAAA
Molecule: long non-coding RNA, 1186 nt
Organism: Anoplopoma fimbria (sablefish)
Lineage: Eukaryota; Metazoa; Chordata; Actinopteri; Perciformes; Anoplopomatidae
Exons: 4
Source: RefSeq, a predicted model, not a curated record